This 397-nucleotide ribosomal RNA is filed under the name uncultured bacterium. Its description in RNAcentral is "bacterial SSU rRNA". It matches the Rfam family "Bacterial small subunit ribosomal RNA", at positions 29 to 429 of the family's 1533-position model. The record is from RNAcentral.
AUUGAACGCUGGCGGCAUGCCUUACACAUGCAAGUCGAGCGGCAGCGCGGGGGCAACCCUGGCGGCGAGCGGCGGACGGGUGAGUAAUACAUCGGAACGUGUCCUUUCGUGGGGGAUAACCAGUCGAAAGACUGGCUAAUACCGCAUGAGAUCUCACGAUGAAAGCGGGGGACCGCAAGGCCUCGCGCGAUUGGAGCGGCCGAUGUCGGAUUAGCUAGUUGGCGGGGUAAAAGCCCACCAAGGCUACGAUCCGUAGCUGGUUUGAGAGAACGACCAGCCACACUGGGACUGAGACACGGCCCAGACUCCUACGGGAGGCAGCAGUGGGGAAUUUUGGACAAUGGGGGCAACCCUGAUCCAGCCAUGCCGCGUGUGUGAAGAAGGCCUCGGUUGUAAG